This 212-nucleotide long non-coding RNA is filed under the name Panax ginseng (ginseng). RNAcentral's name for it is "long non-coding RNA (PGIN_LNC009738)". The record is from RNAcentral. Lineage: Eukaryota; Viridiplantae; Streptophyta; Magnoliopsida; Apiales; Araliaceae.
AGAAUUCGGUUUUUCUAACUUGCUCAAAUCUUCAAAUUCGUGCACUUUGAUGUUAUGAGUUCAUGAUUUUACAACCCAGAACAUUAAUAGACUCUCUAUUACACUACUUUAAACAAUCAAUUGCAUCAAUUAACAUCGAAUCGAAGGAUUUCUAGAAUUUAGGAUUUCCUACCUUUUCAAGCUUGAUUUUUGAUUUCUGGCUUCUUGAUGCU